Molecule: ribosomal RNA, 803 nt
Filed under: Salmonella enterica subsp. enterica serovar Agona
Lineage: Bacteria; Pseudomonadati; Pseudomonadota; Gammaproteobacteria; Enterobacterales; Enterobacteriaceae
Description: partial 23S ribosomal RNA
Rfam family: Bacterial large subunit ribosomal RNA
Source: RNAcentral
GGGUUGUGAGGUUAAGCGACUAAGCGUACACGGUGGAUGCCCUGGCAGUCAGAGGCGAUGAAGGGCGUGCUAAUCUGCGAUAAGCGCCGGUAAGGUGAUAUGAACCGUUAUAACCGGCGAUACCCGAAUGGGGAAACCCAGUGUGAUUCGUCACACUAUCAUUAACUGAAUCCAUAGGUUAAUGAGGCGAACCGGGGGAACUGAAACAUCUAAGUACCCCGAGGAAAAGAAAUCAACCGAGAUUCCCCCAGUAGCGGCGAGCGAACGGGGAGGAGCCCAGAGCCUGAAUCAGCAUGUGUGUUAGUGGAAGCGUCUGGAAAGGCGCGCGAUACAGGGUGACAGCCCCGUACACAAAAGCGCAUGUGCUGUGAGCUCGAUGAGUAGGGCGGGACACGUGGUAUCCUGUCUGAAUAUGGGGGGACCAUCCUCCAAGGCUAAAUACUCCUGACUGACCGAUAGUGAACCAGUACCGUGAGGGAAAGGCGAAAAGAACCCCGGCGAGGGGAGUGAAAAAGAACCUGAAACCGUGUACGUACAAGCAGUGGGAGCACCCUUUGGGGUGUGACUGCGUACCUUUUGUAUAAUGGGUCAGCGACUUAUAUUCUGUAGCAAGGUUAACCGAAUAGGGGAGCCGGAGGGAAACCGAGUCUUAAUUGGGCGUUAAGUUGCAGGGUAUAGACCCGAAACCCGGUGAUCUAGCCAUGGGCAGGUUGAAGGUUGGGUAACACUAACUGGAGGACCGAACCGACUAAUGUUGAAAAAUUAGCGGAUGACCUGUGGCUGGGGGUGAAAGGCCAAUCAAA